Ictalurus punctatus (channel catfish) is the source of this 3894-nucleotide long non-coding RNA. The record is from Ensembl. NCBI's taxonomy places the organism in Eukaryota, Metazoa, Chordata, Actinopteri, Siluriformes, Ictaluridae.
GAGAGAGAGGGAGAGAGAGAGGAGACUGGUGAGGGAACUGUUUAUAGCUACUAUAAUGUAAUAAUGAGAACAGGAAAUAAAGGAAAUGUAACUACAAACGGAUAAAAGUAUAAAAUAUUAAACGUAUGGUGUGUAAUUCUGAAAUACUUUAAAAUCUUGUAAUCGUUUGUCACGUUGCUGCAGUGUAAGAGGAAUAAAACACUUCAGCUCGUUCUGUUAGAGGAAAAGAAUCAGCUUCCCGGGGGUAAAGGUGAGCUCGCUUGAUCGUAUCUCGCCACCCCGUCACUGAUUAUAUUCCUGUACAGCACAACAGUGUUUACGUUCUGUCUCACUAGCCACAUCGGAUUUGAUCAGAUUAGAUUAGAUUUAGUAGAUAGCAUUUUUACGGUAUUAUUCCACUAAACUCCGCUUGAGCCGGAACAAAAAAAGGGCCCGAUAACUCAAUUUAUUCCAGUGUGUACCGAAUACAAGCACGCACUGGGAUAAACAGGCCCCCCGAUGAGCACAGGCCACACACGCACAGGAAGACGUUACACAGGUAGACACAGGAGACGGUAAAGCGAACAGGAUAAACGGAGAGCUGGACAGCACACUCACCCUCCUCGUCCCCUUGGGUUAGUGAGCGCUCAGGGGACGUGGAGGAGCGACUUCGGAAAGACUGCACCGCUGAACGGGGCUGAAUUUCUCCCACACCUGACAACAUGCCCACAAUAAAAUUACACAGAGUUCACCGUUCCCCAGCUGACCCACUCAUACACACAUGCUUCAAACGCUACAUCAAUCAUGCAUUCACAUCAUGACCAAGACGCCGGCUUCCCACACCCUGGCUUUAGUGGAAGACUUUAAGUGAUAUCUUUCACGCCGACUGAAUGCGGUUUUGCAGGCACGACAUAAUCAAGCCCUGAUUUACUAAAAGGUUUGCGUGUGUAGAAUUAAUCACGGAGCACUGAUUUACCAACACGCUCCCUGACCCGGCCGCUCGGCCUUGACGAAUUCGCCCGGGUCUUCACGCCUGCCGAUUCCUCCCACGUCCACAACAUACUGACUCCCACGAUGCUUACUGUCUAACACAUCCCAGACCUCGCACUGGUUAUCCGUUUAUUCAUAAUAUGUACAUAUAAUGCAUUUAUAAGGAAUUCCACCCGUCGUUAUAACCAUUUCUAAAAACGCGGUACGGUAUAUAACCAACGUCUGCUUUAUAAACAGCGUAAAUCGUGCCAAAACCCCAAAAUAAGACACAUCUGCGACAUGCGCGUGACUCACUUUCUUCGCUAUUUACGUUAUGAACGUUACUCAUAAUAACUAACAAGCAAAAAUAUCCAAUAUCAUCAGGACUGCAUUUCAGAACGUUAAGGCUUACGGCUUCAUUUUUGGGGAUGUAUUAAAAUGAUGAUUUUUUUAUAAAGAAUUUUUGAAAUGACGCCCCGUUUCACAACGUAUUAUCCUUUUUCGAAAAGGAAAUACGCUCGUUAAAGCAUGCAGUAACGAUCCUAUGAUCCACGAUGGCUCGGUGCGCGGUGACACUAGGUGACCUUUCCGAUGCCGAGCUAGCGCUAAAGUGAAUUCUAAAAAAAAGAUUAAUGACGGCGGUGUUAUGCUUUAAGGUCACUUACCUCCACAGGCUUCAGAAACGGAAAAAAACGGGGAGACGGACAACAUGGAAAGGAAGAGAGAGAAAAAAAAACAACAAAUACUGUGUGUUACUGUCUUUAGGGACGGGAAGGAUAUUACAACCAAACCAAGUACACGGUGGAAGUGCUGCGUAAUGAAAUAAUCCCUCACCACAGUGCUGGCUCAUCUCAGAGCGGACGUAAGCUCGAAUCUCAUCCUCCUACACAGGACGUGACACAAGGACUAAUAAGAGAAAAUUGGGAUGAACAGGUAUUAUAUGUUGUAGUAAUUCCGAGGUGUAGCUAGCGGGUGGAUUUGGGGUUUGAAAUGUUUUAGGACACUUCCAAACGGUUAUAGAGUCCCAUCGUUAUCGUUCCCUACUGAGCCGCCGUUUGUUUGACGGCAUUGAGGGACAGGACUAACCAAUCAGCAUCGUGCGCUUUUUCCCAUUUCUGCCCUUAAAGCGACUAGCCAGCUAGCUACCGUCUGAGCUCGGAUAUAUAACGAUCGAAGAGGUUUACUGCAGCUGGAGAGAAAAAAAAAAAGAAAGAAGUUUAGAUCUGCUUUUAUACGAUAACGUGUCAUGUCGCCUCUCGUUAUUAGCGUGAUAUUUUAAGCAUUUUCGGUGGAACUGAAAAAAAACAACAACGAAACGACGACGACGACGUGAAGCUAAUUUACGGCGAGUUAUUAAUAAGACGAGGAGGUCGACUGAUAUGGCGAGGCUUUACGUUAAAUCACGUGAUUCGAUAAUAAAUUCCUGUCGUCGGCGCUCUUACGAUCACCCGGACUACUCGAGCGCGUCGCGCUCCUCAGUACGCAGAUCACGCGCUAGUAUUAUUUAGCAUAUUCCCUCGUCGCCUCGAGAAAGGAACUCCUGGCUGAGCCGCUUGUGAUGUGUGUACGCGUGUGUGAAAUUGUGUGCUCAGACCGUCAUGCCCAGCUCUCCCUUCUCUCCUUUCGCUCCUUCGAGCCCGAUUUCUCCCUGACGCACGGAGAGGGAAAUACGAGAAACAUCAUUAAAUGAACAGAAGAUGACUUCAUUAAAACAAUAUAGAAAGUACAGAGAGAGAGAGAGAGAGAGAGAGAGACAUCUGCACACUGACCUGUUCUCCUCUCUCUCCUGGGAUUCCUGGAAUACCACGAGGGCCAACCGAAGCAGGACCUGGAGGACCUCGUUCACCCUGAGAGACAGAGUGUACACGUCUGCAUUUACGACAGUGAUAACACGGACGUGCACGAGUACUGACGUACGCUCACGAGUAGGGGUGUUAAGGUUUGAAAUUUUAACAGUGUGACAAACAAAGCCAUCCUGUCACGUCUACGCCUUCGGAGAGAACGCCGCAGCCAUAACAGACAUGGCCGACACGGACUACGACCCCCAUCACUCGCCCCCAUGCUGCGUCCCAAUUCGUCUCCGAUCCGUCCCGAAUACCAUCUGAGCCAGCUUUCCUACAUCACACGACAGCUACUAAACGGGGACGGUAGAGGCUAACGUGUGCUUCCUCCGACAUACGCGUAACGACCCAGAGGAACGUGUUAUCCGCCAUCUUCUGCAGAGAUGAGGUCGGAGAUGCUCACGAUGGGCUAGUCUCACUGUGAUUGACAGGGGAGGAGAGUAUGAAAUCCCUCCCACCAUGAGAACACGGACGUUUUGGCUCCCUUGCCUCCCGGUCACGGAUAGUUGCGACAUCAUCGGAGAAACGUGUUUUUGAGAAUGACUUCUCAGUGAAAUGUAUUAUUUUGUCGGUACUCAUCACACGGACGUUAAGCUGAACGAGACGGGGGUUGGAAGGAAAGGGCUAAGCUCUCUCUCUACCCUCGAUACGGAUCAACAGUUCUGAUGACAUCAUUCUGCACUUCAGCUUCUCGUUAAGAUUUUUAGUCCAAUCGAACGCUCUCUAGGAUCUUGAAGUGUCCCGCCCCCGACGGAUGUAAGUGUCCUGGCUGUGAGGGAGAUUCAUUUGAGUGUCCAGAUGGUCAGAGUGUGAAGAGUCUCCCUGAGCUCUGAAAAUGUUAUUACAUCACAAAACACAAGAGCCUAUCGUCUUCCGGUAUGCAAAUUCAGCCCGAGGUAAGUAGACGGUGAGUGUGUGUACGGUUGAGAGCAUUUCUAAUUUGCAUAUUCAAAGAAUCUGGAUGAGCUGUGCUGGUACGUUUCAUCUUGUUAAUGACAAUUCAUGUUUUGGGACAGAUAGUGUGUCCCUGCAAUCCGGAAUCACCUGCAAUCCAGGUAAUCCUCUCUCUCCUGCUACUCCAGGCAGUGUUUCACCGGGAGGCCCC